CAUGUUUUCCAGUCCUUUGCCUUUGCUUGUCUGAAGCUAUGUACACAUGUUUAAUCUUUAUUUCUCAUUAUUUACAUUCCAUCUUUAAAUCUCAACCUCUUGAGAUCUGUAAGAACUCGAUACUCAUUCCAUUUGUUCAACUCCUAAUUCUAUGCUGUUCCCAACUGUGACAGACCUGCCUUCCAGGUUCCUGAGUUGUUGGUACACCCUGAACAGAAGUAGGGAGAACACCUGGAAGUUGAGACAUGUUUGGAUACUACAAGGGCUUUGUGUGCCCUGUCCAUGCCUUCUGUGCACCUAAUGUCAGUCCAGAGCUGGAUAGCUCAAGGCUCAUGGUCAGUAUCUAGGGACCCCUCUGGUGUCUCUCUGCUAUUCUGCCUCCAGACUUUCCCCAAGGCCAAGGAUGGCUACUUCGCCCAGCACAGCCUGAAAGUUGACAGUCAAAGCUUCCAAGAGCAAUCUUCAUUUACUGGGGCAUAGGAGUCAAUGGAUAAGUGUCCAACUUCCCGCCCGCCCCCUCCAUCUUUCAGAGCGACAGUUCGGCUGAGGCACUGAUCUCAUGGUUCCUCAGCGGAUCCCCGGGGAGGCUGUGCUCCAAUUGCUCCAGUGUGUCCCCAGGGAUCCAUGACCUCUAGAGAACUGGAUCUAUAUCUUCCUUAUCUUCUUCAUGGCACUAGCUCAGUGCCUAACACAGCAGCCAAGAUGGUGUGUUCCAGACCGCGCUUGUUCCACUGGUGAGCUGCCAAAGACUCACUGUCCUGAAUGUGGCAAAGACCAUAGCUCUGAUAAUAUCCUGGGAACUAUUCCUACAUGCCCAACUAUGGCCCAAGCCUUCAGCCCUCAAGACAAUUUUGCAAAUACUUAACUCCCAGCAUUAAAUUCCUGUGCUUCAAAAUUGCUA
Long non-coding RNA from Suricata suricatta (meerkat), 901 nucleotides. RefSeq lists it as uncharacterized. The record is from RefSeq and is a predicted model, not a curated record. The transcript is spliced from 3 exons. NCBI's taxonomy places the organism in Eukaryota, Metazoa, Chordata, Mammalia, Carnivora, Herpestidae.